CCCUUAGACGUUCUGGGCCGCACGCGCGCUACACUGACCAGUGCAACAAGCAUCCGUCCUUGGCCGACAGGCUCGGGCAAUCUUUGAACGCUGGUCGUGAUGGGGAUAGACUUUUGCAAUUUUUGGUCUUCAACGAGGAAUUCCUAGUAAACGCAAGUCAUCAACUUGCAUUGAUUACGUCCCUGCCCUUUGUACACACCGCCCGUCGCACCUACCGAUUGAAUGGUCCGGUGAAGCCUCCGGAUUGGAGCGCACCUCGGUGCCGCCGAGAAGUUGGCUAAACCUUACCAUUUAGAGGAAGGUGAAGUCGUAACA
RNAcentral lists this ribosomal RNA (315 nucleotides) under uncultured eukaryote. Its description in RNAcentral is "partial 18S ribosomal RNA". It matches the Rfam family "Eukaryotic small subunit ribosomal RNA", at positions 1470 to 1796 of the family's 1831-position model. The record is from RNAcentral.